AUGUCCUCGCUCGCAAGAGUCGSYUCAYAGGUGCUGCAUGGCUGUCGUCAGCUCGUGUCGUGAGAUGUUGGGUUAAGUCCCGCAACGAGCGCAACCCUUACCUUUAKUUGCCAGCAUUCAGUUGGGCACUCUAAAGGGACUGCCUGCGUUAAGCAGGAGGAAGGUGGGGAUGACGUCAAGUCCUCAUGGCCCUUAUGUCCGGGGCUACACACGUGCUACAAUGGUGGUCACARAGGGAAGCCAAGCCGCAAGGUGGAGCCAAUCCCUUAAAAGCCAUCUAAGUUCAGAUUGGUCUCUGCAACUCSAGACCAUGAAGUUGGAAUCGCUAGUAAUCGCGGAUCAGAAUGCCGCGGUGAAUACGUUCCCGGGCCUUGUACACACCGAA
This 385-nucleotide ribosomal RNA is filed under the name uncultured bacterium. RNAcentral's name for it is "bacterial SSU rRNA". It matches the Rfam family "Bacterial small subunit ribosomal RNA", at positions 1008 to 1394 of the family's 1533-position model. The record is from RNAcentral.